Megalobrama amblycephala (Wuchang bream) is the source of this 224-nucleotide long non-coding RNA. RefSeq lists it as uncharacterized. The transcript is spliced from 2 exons. Lineage: Eukaryota; Metazoa; Chordata; Actinopteri; Cypriniformes; Xenocyprididae. The record is from RefSeq and is a predicted model, not a curated record.
CAGGGAAUAAACAAGAGUUACUGCACACAGUCUUGCUUUAUCAACACGGUCUUUUUAAGCGACCUCUACCAGUAUCAGAUGACAAAAGACUCACCAUGCCGCUGUUCCAGUUAUUGUUCUCCGAGUUGUAGCUGGAAGGCCAGGAUGACUUGGGAUCAGACUGCAUCUGCUGAUGCAUGAUCCACGCAGCCUCACCUCCGCCUCUGUCGCUGCCAACUGAAUCG